AGAGUUUGAUCCUGGCUCAGAUUGAACGCUGGCGGCAGGCUUAACACAUGCAAGUCGAGCGGUAACAGGAAUUAGCUUGCUAAUUUGCUGACGAGCGGCGGACGGGUGAGUAACGCGUAGGAAUCUGCCUGGUAGUGGGGGACAACAUGUGGAAACGCAUGCUAAUACCGCAUACGCCCUACGGGGGAAAGGAGGGGAUCUUCGGACCUUUCGCUAUCAGAUGAGCCUGCGUGAGAUUAGCUAGUUGGUGGGGUAAAGGCUCACCAAGGCGACGAUCUCUAGCUGGUCUGAGAGGAUGAUCAGCCACACUGGGACUGAGACACGGCCCAGACUCCUACGGGAGGCAGCAGUGGGGAAUAUUGGACAAUGGGCGCAAGCCUGAUCCAGCCAUGCCGCGUGUGUGAAGAAGGCCUUCGGGUUGUAAAGCACUUUCAGAGGUGAGGAAGGGUGUGUAGUUAAUACCUACAUAUCUUGACGUUAGCUUCAGAAGAAGCACCGGCUAACUCUGUGCCAGCAGCCGCGGUAAUAC
Molecule: ribosomal RNA, 529 nt
Filed under: Marinomonas sp.
Lineage: Bacteria; Pseudomonadati; Pseudomonadota; Gammaproteobacteria; Oceanospirillales; Oceanospirillaceae
Description: bacterial SSU rRNA
Rfam family: Bacterial small subunit ribosomal RNA
Source: RNAcentral